Molecule: long non-coding RNA, 331 nt
Filed under: Coturnix japonica (Japanese quail)
Lineage: Eukaryota; Metazoa; Chordata; Aves; Galliformes; Phasianidae
Description: lncRNA (ENSCJPG00005020149.1)
Source: RNAcentral
AAUGAAAGGAGAUGACAGGAAUUAAUGAAGUCCUGUACUUAAAACAAUGCUUAGAAUCAUUAAGAAAUUCUUGAGAAGCUCAAGCUCAGUGGCAAACAUUCCAAGCAAUAACUCAAAAAUCCAGUUUGGUUUCAUAUCAUCUGCAAUCAACUGUUCUUGCAUGGAGUCCUUUCCUCCUCUUCCAACUACUAAAUUCUAUUCAGGAAAGUGCAUUUCCAUUGGCAAGUGUAAGUCUUUCAUCAGUGGUAAAUCCUUGUAUCCCAGAAUGUUCAUAGGGAGUUGGGAUCUGAGAUUGCUCUGCCAUGACACCUCAAUCCCGAGCUCUCUAUAG